UCAAUAGGUUUCACCUGACUCAUAAUCAGGGAGUCCUUGGUUCAAGCCCAAGUGGGACCA
Molecule: transfer RNA, 60 nt
Filed under: Siphoviridae sp. ct4T77
Lineage: Duplodnaviria; Heunggongvirae; Uroviricota; Caudoviricetes
Also listed under: 1 other name
Description: tRNA-Leu
Source: RNAcentral